AUACGGAGGAUGCAAGCGUUAUCCGGAUUUAUUGGGUUUAAAGGGUGCGUAGGCUGUUCGGAAAGUCAGGGGUGAAAGCCCGGCGCCUAACGCCGGAACUGCCUUUGAUACUUCCGAGCUGGAAUACGGAUGCCGUGGGAGGAAUGAGUAGUGUAGCGGUGAAAUGCAUAGAUAUUACUCCGAACACCGAUUGCGAAGGCAUCUCACGAAUCCGUCAUUGACGCUGAGGCACGAAAGCGUGGGGAUCAAACAGGAUUAGAUACCCUGGUAGUCCACGCAGUAAACGAUGAUGACUAACCGUCGGCGAUACACAGUCGGUGGCCAAGCGAAAGCGAUAAGUCAUCCACCUGGGGAGUACGUUCGCAAGAAUGAAACUCAAAGGAAUUGACGGGG
This 393-nucleotide ribosomal RNA is filed under the name uncultured bacterium. Its description in RNAcentral is "partial 16S ribosomal RNA". It matches the Rfam family "Bacterial small subunit ribosomal RNA", at positions 523 to 918 of the family's 1533-position model. The record is from RNAcentral.